This 483-nucleotide ribosomal RNA is filed under the name uncultured bacterium. RNAcentral describes it as "partial 16S ribosomal RNA". It matches the Rfam family "Bacterial small subunit ribosomal RNA", at positions 30 to 506 of the family's 1533-position model. The record is from RNAcentral.
AUUGAACGCUGGCGGCAGGCCUAACACAUGCAAGUCGAGCGGAUGAAGGGAGUUUGCUCCUGGAUUCAGCGGCGGACGGGUGAGUAAUGCCUAGGAAUCUGCCUGGUAGUGGGGGAUAACGUCCGGAAACGGGCGCUAAUACCGCAUACGUCCUGAGGGAGAAAGUGGGGGAUCUUCGGACCUCACGCUAUCAGAUGAGCCUAGGUCGGAUUAGCUAGUUGGUGGGGUAAAGGCCUACCAAGGCGACGAUCCGUAACUGGUCUGAGAGGAUGAUCAGUCACACUGGAACUGAGACACGGUCCAGACUCCUACGGGAGGCAGCAGUGGGGAAUAUUGGACAAUGGGCGAAAGCCUGAUCCAGCCAUGCCGCGUGUGUGAAGAAGGUCUUCGGAUUGUAAAGCACUUUAAGUUGGGAGGAAGGGCAGUAAGUUAAUACCUUGCUGUUUUGACGUUACCAACAGAAUAAGCACCGGCUAACUUCGU